GGCCUCGAGGUGAUUUGACAUAUUGAAUUGCAAAUUCAAAGAAGCAGCUUCAAUUCUGCCGGGGCUU
RNAcentral lists this transfer RNA (67 nucleotides) under Lepilemur dorsalis (gray-backed sportive lemur). Its description in RNAcentral is "tRNA-Cys". It matches the Rfam family "tRNA". Rfam says of the family: Transfer RNA (tRNA) molecules are approximately 80 nucleotides in length. Their secondary structure includes four short double-helical elements and three loops (D, anti-codon, and T loops). The record is from RNAcentral. Lineage: Eukaryota; Metazoa; Chordata; Mammalia; Primates; Lepilemuridae.